This is a long non-coding RNA of Drosophila pseudoobscura, 1846 nucleotides long. RefSeq lists it as uncharacterized. NCBI's taxonomy places the organism in Eukaryota, Metazoa, Arthropoda, Insecta, Diptera, Drosophilidae. The record is from RefSeq and is a predicted model, not a curated record. The transcript has 2 exons.
ACAGAAACCACACAUGUUGGAACAGAACUAUGCAGAUAUAUACCAUAUAUUCCCCGAGCAAUUGCUACUCGUCUAACGCUUCUUUAACCCACAAAACUAAAAGAAAAGUGCAGAUAAAAGAUGGCAGCAACGUCAGAGCGGGCAGCGGAUCAACCAUGAACCAUAGAUAUGUCACUUAGAUUGUACUAUAUAUUCUUUAUAAAUAUAAAUACUAUAUUGUAUGCUGCUAUGCUAUUCCACUGAACCGCAACCGCAACUGUGGCAACACACUCAGCACAAUGGCCAGCCCAGCCCACAAUCAGGAGAGAGCUGUACUUAGUUAAGUGAGGAUCUGAUCGGAUCGGAUCGGAUAGAGGUAGACCUGUCGCAGCUCCUCCUCUUGCGCCAUUAUACUGGUGCAGAGAGGUGGGGUUCAGCUUCAUUUCAAUAGAUUUUAUAACUUGAUGCCUUGUAACAAUUCUAUAUAUUUUUUUUUUGUUUUUUAUAAUUUAUUUAGCUGUUGUUGUUGUUGUUGCUGUUGUUGCUGUUGUGCAGCGAAUCUGAUUGUCCAAACAUUGUUCGUAAUUGUAAAAAAAGAGAAAGAUGCAAAGAAUUGUGAACGGAAAACACAUACAAUAGACAAUAGACAAUAUACAAUAUACAAUAUAGAUGUAGAUUAUAUACCUAGAGCAUAUCCUAUCCUGUAAGUCAGAGCCCGCUUACAACAACAGAGCAGAGCAGAGCAACCAAUCAGCCAAUCAAGCAUUCAUCAAUCAAUCAAACAAUCAAUCAAGCUAAGUUCUAGCCCUUUUUACAAAGCUUUAACUUAUAUUCCAUUUAAAGAACACUCUUUUAAAACGUAUAUAUACUAGCAUAGACACUAUACUAUAUACUAUAUACUAUAUGUAGAUCAGAUAUGGAGGCGGAACCCUGAAGGAUGAACAAUCAGUUACUUAAAGCAAAUGCAACUUCCCAUACAUAUAUAUAUAUAUAUAUAUAUAUAUAGAGCUUGACAUGAAUCAAUCGAAACGAAACUAAGCUGAAAUGCAAAAACGAAUCGAAUCGAAUCAAAACGAAGCGAAAAAUUCGCCACAGACUUGUGUGUGUGUGUGUGUCUGUGUGUGUGUGUGUUUGUGUUUGUGUAAAAGGCUACAUCUAAGUAUUAAAUAUCCAAUAUGUUCUAGUUCUUAAGCUAAACAAAUUAUUUAUUUGUAUUUCUGUUCGAUGGCGCUGCAGCCUUCACUCUCAGCACUCUCCCCUCUCUCUCUCUCACUCCCCUCUGUCUCUCUCUGUCACUCGCUCACUCACUCACUCACUCAUUUUAUAUGGACUCUCCAAAUUUGAAAUUCCUUUAGAGCUCGACAUAUAGAGUUCCAUAUUGUCGCCUUAGUUUGUUGCGUGUGUGUGUGUGUUUUUUUUUGUGUGUGUUUUGUACAGAGUGAGAGGCGGCAGCGAAUUGCAUUUAAAAGUAAUGGAUGGGAUAGUGACCCACGAAAGUGGGUCCCCUCUGCAGAGGGUUGUGAGGGCUGUGGGCCCAUUCGACGAGACCCGACUGCUGAAAGCUGAAUGCCGACUGCUCUAUGCUCUCCAGUUGUAUUUUGCUUAGUCGAAAAUGAAGUCGAGCCAUUGCUUUCUUUUUAAAAAUUGUAUUUUAUUUGUACUAUUAUUGUCAUGAUCCAUUCGUAUUACGUUUAUUUACGUUAAUGUUUAUGUUUAAAUAUAUACUCUAGCUUAAGGCGCCUCUGCAGUUGCAUUUCCCCCGCAGAAUCGGCUCAGAAAUUUAACUGCAAACGCCACCCCCCCCCCCACCACCCGAAACCCAAACCCAACCCCAGACAAAAUAAAGUAAUAAUGUGUAUAAAAUCAA